RNAcentral lists this ribosomal RNA (480 nucleotides) under uncultured bacterium. Its description in RNAcentral is "partial 16S ribosomal RNA". It matches the Rfam family "Bacterial small subunit ribosomal RNA", at positions 28 to 523 of the family's 1533-position model. The record is from RNAcentral.
GACGAACGCUGGCGGCGUGCUUAACACAUGCAAGUCGAGCGGUAAGGCCCUUUCGGGGGUACACGAGCGGCGAACGGGUGAGUAACACGUGGGUGAUCUGCCCUGCACUUCGGGAUAAGCCUGGGAAACUGGGUCUAAUACCGGAUAUGACCACUGAUCGCAUGGUUGGUGGUGGAAAGGUUUACUGGUGCAGGAUGGGCCCGCGGCCUAUCAGCUUGUUGGUGGGGUAAUGGCCUACCAAGGCGACGACGGGUAGCCGACCUGAGAGGGUGACCGGCCACACUGGGACUGAGACACGGCCCAGACUCCUACGGGAGGCAGCAGUGGGGAAUAUUGCACAAUGGGCGAAAGCCUGAUGCAGCGACGCCGCGUGAGGGAUGACGGCCUUCGGGUUGUAAACCUCUUUCAGCAGGGACGAAGCGCAAGUGACGGUACCUGCAGAAGAAGCACCGGCCAACUACGUGCCAGCCGCCGCGGUAA